Molecule: unclassified non-coding RNA, 205 nt
Filed under: Hevea brasiliensis (rubber tree)
Lineage: Eukaryota; Viridiplantae; Streptophyta; Magnoliopsida; Malpighiales; Euphorbiaceae
Source: RNAcentral
GGCACAUUACAGCUGAUAUGAUUGAAAAUGCUUCCAUUGUCUGGGAGUUUCUGAAAGGGAGAAAGCUUCACGGGCUCUUGGCACUAGAUAGAGCAUAUCCAUUUAAGUUGAAUUGGGAUGCUUUAUAUGCCAAUACAACCCUACCUCUUGUUGUUGACGUAGGAAGUGGCAACGGUUUAUUUCUGACCAGAAUGGCAAAGAUGCG